This 407-nucleotide ribosomal RNA is filed under the name uncultured prokaryote. RNAcentral's name for it is "bacterial SSU rRNA". It matches the Rfam family "Bacterial small subunit ribosomal RNA", at positions 355 to 774 of the family's 1533-position model. The record is from RNAcentral. RNAcentral also lists the same sequence under 1 other name.
UGGGGAAUAUUGCGCAAUGGGCGAAAGCCUGACGCAGCGACGCAGCGUGAGGGAUGAAGGCCUUCGGGUUGUAAACCUCUUUCAGCGGGGACGAAGCGAAAGUGACGGUACCCGCAGAAGAAGCACCGGCUAACUACGUGCCAGCAGCCGCGGUAAUACGUAGGGUGCAAGCAUUGUCCGGAUUUAUUGGGCGUAAAGAGCUCGUAGGCGGCUUGUCACGUCGGAUGUGAAAACUCGGGGCUCAACCCCGAGCCUGCAUUCGAUACGGGCUAGCUAGAGUGUUGCAGGGGAGACUGGAAUUCCUGGUGUAGCGGUGAAAUGCGCAGAUAUCAGGAGGAACACCGGUGGCGAAGGCGGGUCUCUGGGCAACUACUGACGCUGAGGAGCGAAAGCGUGGGGAGCGAACA